Long non-coding RNA from Aedes albopictus (Asian tiger mosquito), 18025 nucleotides. RefSeq lists it as uncharacterized. NCBI's taxonomy places the organism in Eukaryota, Metazoa, Arthropoda, Insecta, Diptera, Culicidae. The transcript is spliced from 2 exons. The record is from RefSeq and is a predicted model, not a curated record.
CGAGAUAGAAAGAAAAACAAAUUAGCACUUAUUACACUUAUUAUUUACUUGUUUACUGCAGUUAACAGUUAAUAUUAACGACUGUCCAUUGAAUGACAACUGCGCUCUAGAUUCCUUUUCCUGAAACGCCUACGGAGAUAGUUUGGGUGCCCUGUUUCUUCUGAAGUAGACGUUAAAUUAACAUUCCUAUCCUUUCCCUUCCUUUCCUAGUGAUUGUAAGGACGUGGCCAAGUAAACGAAGUGAUGCUUGUUUUCAGACGCGCCAACUUGGUGAAAUUAUUGGGGGGGGCAAAGCCUGGUUUUUCUGAUUUUUUUAUGGGAAAAUCUAAAAAUCAUCACCCCCCCUAAGUUCGCGCCUAUGUUUGUUUUGUUCAUGGUUUUGUUUCACCAACUCUAAAGCUAGUAUGACACUCUUUGACCAAUGCCAACUAUUUGACCACUUCUGGCAGUUAAAUUUUGACCUAUGAAAAACAGAGUCAAACAAAUUUCCGAAAUGUAUCAGUCAAAAGUGGACAAAUAUUUGGCGUCUGGGCAAAGCGUGUACGAGCACCUUAAGAGCCGAUGCACACGAGCGUUAACUGACGCUGCGUCGCCGCAGCGUUCCUGUGGGGCAUGCCUUGACAUUGCGUGCCGCACACGAUGCGGCGCGGUAGCGUUGCGUUCUCGUGUGCAUCCGCCCAAUUGAUUGUGUUUAACUCAGGACGCACUUGCGUGCACGCUGCGUGGACGCGCCGCCCUUGUACAUCGGCUCUAAAGCCUGGAACACAUAGCGUCCGUUCCGUCGAGGUUUGCGUUUUUUUGACAGUUUUCCCAUGGGAAAUGUGUCAAACUAGUGUCACGCACACGCAAACGUAUGCAUUGUGUGGGGCACUUAACACGUAGAAUUCAAAACUGUACUAUACUUAUACUCGCACCCUCAGCAGCUUCUCUUGCAGCCGCUAUACUUCCGGAAGUUCUUAGUUGGUGCAAUUCGACACAAAAACCACCUGGAGAUCAACCGGAAUGACCUGCGUAAGGCAACAAUCGUAGAAAGUAUGAGCUUUUUAUUCGCACCACCACUGUAUUUGUUGACAUUGUGCUUAACAAAUCCAAAAAUCAAAACAAAAACAAAGUUUCCAAAUUUUAUAGUGGUAAUCACGUUCAAAUGUAUGCGUGCCUUUUUUGUAGAUGUAGUUGUGAAACUGCGAGGAAAAUAUUUGCACUCUUACCCCGGACGUUAGUUUUAUCAUUAUUUACCCGUUUUACCCAAUUCGAUUGGGUAAUAUUUGCAUAUGCAAUCUGAAUAGCCUUUCAAUCGGCGUGCACUUUUGUGUGAGGAAAAAUUUGCGCUAGUGUUCGUGUGUUGAAAUGUCACUUAUCUCUAUUGAACAAGGCGAUGUAGGGUGACCAGUUUGUCGGAUUAAAAGUUUACCCCGGUAAUUCGACAACAAUCGUUGUCAAAUUAGCGGAGAUAUAUGGUAGUGAACCCAAUCAUGACUACCUUGAUAGGAAACAAUCAUCUUCCAGCAUGUAGCUACAAGUACUCGUCGCUGAACGAAACAAAAACAUGCAUCGAUAUUAAAAAUCAACAAACCAAGUAGGCGGAUCCUACCGGUUGUUGUUGCUGUCGUAGUUUCCCUGCCAACCCCCGUAGUAGUCUUGGCAACUCGCACAUCCAAGUCUACACCUACUGACUGCCUGGGGAAUAGGCACAUGCAGACCCCGAUUGCAUACUCGUAACAAAAUACGGAAAUUAUGUGCAAAUGCAAUAUGCUUCCAAAGCGGGAUCGUGAAGCUGCGUCGGCACUGUCGGGCUUUUGGCCUACACACGCAUGCUGCCUGCACGUGUGUGGCGGUUCGUAAGAUCGAUGCGGACUGGAAUUUCAAGAGUGGGCAACCCCCGUUCGUAUACCAAGAAGUCAAUGGACGGACCAUGGGCUGCUGCCCAGGGGGAAAGCGGUGGAGCAUGGAGGCGUUGAUUUAUGCUGCGAUAUAUUUAUAUCCUCCGGGUACCUACAGCGUGCAACACCAGUUUAAUUAAUUUUAUGAAAAUGAGUGUCUUGUAGAACGGGUUGGGAAAUAGAUCACUCUCGGUCAAAUCUCUAGACCCACGUUUGCCAUGACUAUCGAUGACUUAAAAAAAUCUGCUUGUAAUUUUCAUACAAAUUUACAUAAAUAGGCUCUUAAAGCCCUAUCUGAUUUCUUGGUUUAAACCACAAAAUACAAUCCAAGGGUGCAUAUUUACUCAUUUUUUGACGUUUUUAUUGGCCGUGGUUAAAAAUACAUAAUUUAAUUUUUUUUAAUCUUUUGUCCCGCCCCUAGCUUAUAUCACAUACUUUGAGUGACUUUUUUUCACCGUGUACGUCAGAUAGGAACAAAUGUUGAAUCCCCAGUGCGAAAAAUGUCGAGUUCCAUCACAUCAAGGUCGACCUCAAAUGUCAAACUAGAACUACAUAUUUACCAUGUUACUUAUUUCGAAUUUUCUCAUUAUUCCUUCGUUUCUCGAGUUCGAGUAAAGUACAAUUCCGAUUAGAAAACCGUGCUUGAUCGUAUUAUUCAAUGAAAGCGAGAUUUCGCCUAUAACUUUAGGACCCUAUUGCAACGUCAGUUCGACACUAAAGUGCGUCAGAGUGUACUGCCAGUACAGCAGCCGUUCACUCGUUGCAACAUGUUUACAUUGCAACGAGCGAAUGUCAUUCGCUAAUUGAAUCAUCACUUUGAAACUAAAGUGCAUUGGAGUUCACUGACAGCAUAACUGACAGCACAAAUUUGACACUCACUCGCCUCAAAUUGCAAAAACUUGUCAUUUUUUUGUUCUUUCGACGGACUUGCAACUAAAAAGCAGAUUUGUCUGAAGUUUGACCCUUCCCAGAAGGACAUCUUGCGCUGUCUGCACGCAACGGCGAAGCCGGUUACUUUGAUUGCAGCAAUAAUCCAAUCAAGAGGUAAAUAGCGAGCAUAAGCAAUCCCACGCACAACACAUCAGUGGAAACAGGUUCGCCUUUUCCGAUCUCGAUUCGCCGAGGAGAGAGAGGGGCGUCAACAUCUUGUUGUUUUCAUCUGCCCCGCUCACCUCAGUGUAGAUCAAAAUCAAGCGACUUCAGGCGAAGUCAAUUUGUAUAGAAAAUGCCAUUCCAGGUAAACGACUACAAGGUAAUUAAUUGACACCGUGUUUGUUAAUUAAAAAAUUGGGUCCAGAGCCAUCGACGAAAAAAGAAAACAAGAUGGUAAAGGACGCUAAUAAGUCCUUUUAGCGACAACUACCCGAUGAAAAACACUAGUUUACAAAAUAAAACGAAAGUCGUGAACUUCUGUCAACGACCAAAAUUUUUGAAGCACAAUUUAGUACUGAUUUCGAAACCGUGCUUCAAAUUUUUUUAAGUAGAGCACUUUUUGAGUUUUAGCUCAAUAUCGAGUUUUACAACUUUUAAAAAUAUGGAAUUUACUAAAAUUCAAAUAUCUUGCGUUUUGUUCAACCAAUUUCAAAUCUUUUUCCAUAAAUUAAAAGCUAAAAACAAUACCAUUCGAUCAUCUGAAUGCAGGUUUUGCGUCAGAUUGAUGAAAUUCAAGAUAUUGGCGAGUUUUAGGGACGAUUUCCUUAAAUUUUAGCCAAAUUUCCAAAAAUAUAUGAAGAAAUGUAUUUUUUUCAAUAUGAAAAAAACAAUCUAAAAAUUCUUUCUCAACGUUUAUUUGACAUAUCAUAUGUAGGCGAGUUACAGUAAAAAAUUCAGCUCAAUCGCUGCAUUGAUUACGGAGAAUGAGAAGUGUGAAAUGAGCGACGUUGCUUAAAAAUAGAACAAAAAUCGAUUUCAAAUAAUCAACCUUGUAUGGAAAGUCGAAAAAAAUUCCGCUCUACUGUAUUUUUUUUCCUUCGCGUUUUCGAACUCAGUGCAUGAUUCUACACCAAAAAUGAUCAUCAGCUUACCGAGUUCAAAAAUGCUGUAAACUAGUGAAAUUACUAAUAAAACACCGAUAUUCGGUUGAAGUAACCAUAGUCUACAUUGGAAUUUGGAAUCGAUAACCAAAUUUUAGCUAAAGAAGUCUACACGGAGAAACGAAAGUACCCAAAAGUGAGUUCAUUCCACCCAACUUCGAGGUUGCGUGCGGGAAGCCAAUUUUGAGUUGAUGGAGUCGAUGUUGAGGUAGGUAGUUUGCAUUUAGGCGUAUACGGCCAAAGUACCUAGAGUCGAAGUUCUUUUUACUCAACCGUCAGUUAAAAUUACUCAACUUUCGGUACCAUGUCACUUACUCAAUUUUGGCUUCCUGCAUCGAACUCUCAAAGUUGGGUUGUUUUGCUAUUCACUCUCAAAGUAUCUAAAUACCAAGGUAAGAGAUUCCCGCUAAAAUCCAUGGAUUAGUGAGAAAAGGAAAAAAGCAAAAAAUAGUUAUGAAGUUUGCGCUGAUUUGUAUGGGCGCAUAACUAUUUAGCAAACUUUCUUAAGGAAUUAAGCACUCCCAUCAUAGAAGCAAUUAUUUCAUUGCAUCUCACUGGAUUAAAAAUGACCUCCAUGCUAUAAAACAGAAAAUAUCGUCAUUUGAAAAUCGAUGACAAAAUUUUUUUAAUUUGUGCUAAACAUAUUUUUUCAGCAUUUAGAAUCAUCCAAACUAAUUAAACUUUACAAACUUUGCUGAAAUAAUGACAUUUUAGUGUAAAAACGUCAACUUUUCAUAAAUAAAGCAGAUGUGUUGGUGAGUCUCGUUAUUGACAUUUGCGGGAAUCUCUUACCUUGGUGUUUAGAUACUUUGAUUCACUCUUUGACAACAAUAAAGAGAGCGAAUGAGAGAGGAUGCAAAAAAGAACUAAAAAAUGAGUUAUAAAUACUCAAAUUUAGGUUCUCUUGUUUUUCAGUGUAACAUCUCAAAGAAAACGCCCAAGAAAUCGCCUACUUUGAUGCCACACUGGGAUUUUUUUUUCAACUCGGGUUCCCCAUCGCUUCUGCACGCGUGGAUGCAAUUAAAGGGAGGGACAACAGCACGGCAGCCAGCGACCGCACAAAAAAUGCGAGUAAAUAUUUAGGCUAUAUUUAGCGGAACCUGUUCGCUUGGGCUGCAGCAGCAGCAGACACGGUUUCAACAACGGUCAACCACAAUCGUCCCGCGUCCGUCGGUGCAGAAAAAAAAGGUAAACGAAAACAAAACCAAAACAAAUAAAAGUCGCACCAUCUUUCUUGCCAUGGCACUGCCAUGGCAACCCGACGGUCAUCCGAUCGAUCGAGCCGCAACGACUUGGAGAUGGAGAUCGCCACGUAUCGAACCACUCGCAUCUUGGAAGGUAUUUAUUUUUUCGGUGGUUCGAUAUAAAGCCUUCAGUACACGCUUUGCCAAGUGUGCAAACUUUUUCGCACGCAUCAAACAACAUCAAAGCAAACGCUUGACAUUAAAUAUCGAUGUUUUGUCAAUGUUACGACCGCUGUUGGCCUGCUGGGUUAUGCGUGCGGAAAAAUUUGCACACUUGUCAAAGCGUGUACUGAAGGCUUAAGACAGAUUACCGGAGAUUUCCAAGAGAUUGUUUAUUCAACAGUUUUGAAACGUCAAUAUUAUGUAAUUAACAUAUAAUGUAAUGGUAUUUGACAUUCAGAUAUAUUGUGACAUGUCAUUGUGACAUGUUGAGCAUUAGUCAUAAGAAAUCGAUUAAAAAUGACCAUUGUAGUGCCCCUCGGCUUAAGUGAUGCCAAACUAGAUACAGUGGUAAUCGCUAGUUUGAACAUUACUUUUCAGCAAGCGAAUGCCCAAGUAUAGAUGACAAUUCUCUUAGGUAUGCUAGAUCCUCCAUUGCAUCAGUAGUGGUAAAUAGUUUUGCACAGAGCUCAAAUGGGAUUGCAUAACUAUUUUUGAUGUAUGGGUGGAAAUAAUGGCGAUCUAGCAUACCUUAGAGCUGACAUCUAUACUUGGAGCGAAUGUUACUCGUCAAUGGAUCACUAAAAUAACAAAAACGGCCGCUAUGAAAUGUACAGAUAGCGCCACUGUAGCCUUGUGUGUUUGACGUAACUCGACUGCUGUCACUGUGUUAUGGUCCACAUAUACGGUGACGCUUUUGUUUUGAUGCGGUGCCAGCAUUACUGACAGCAUAAAUUUGACAUUAGAUUGCAUUUUAACAACAAUAUCAUGUCAAACUUUGAACCUAGAGCCACAGACAACAACAAAAAAAUCGCUGCAACAAUCCAAGUUGCAAAGAGCAAAAAAAAAACUUAUUUUAAUGAACUGUCACUAAGGGACAGGAUAAUGGGCCUUUUCAUUUGACGUCUAAAAUCAGCUGAUUUUGGUGGCCUCUGACAGUUCAGUGUUUGCGCUUUUGUUCGGCAGUUGUAAACAGUGGCAUACGUAAACCUGUCAACUGAAAAGACCUAUGGCGUUGACUUUUGACAGGAAGAGGUCAGUAACGUUAAGAAAAUUUAUAUGAGUUAAACAAUUUUCCGCGACUAUCAAAACGAACAUCAACUUUUGGCGCCAGCAACCUUUCCCAAGCAGCAAGAGGCGUCGUCUCAAGCAGUUUACAUCAAGCGGAGAAAAACAAGUCAAUUUCCGAUCAAUAAAUUAUUAUCGCUGGUCUCUUGCCGCAGUAUGCGACAAGCGGCUUACUGCGAUAAAAUACCAUGAUAUUCAGACUAGGCAUGCAGUGCCAAUGGGUCCCUCACUUUGCGACGGUGGGUCCCUCUAAACGGUGCUCCACCACACGCGCCGUCACGCCAUCGUAGCAACCGGUUCCGAAAAUUUUGCGCUACUAAUUGUGUAUUGCUGUUCACGCGCUAAUCACAUGUCCGCUGCGCUGCGCUGGUCGGCCGCUAGACGGUAUGCAGACCGCAACAUUAGCCAUGCAGCGCAGCCGGGCCAGGCCGCGGCGACAGGUCGGCUAGCUACGGACCGGCGUGUGUUUGGUGCUUCUUCUUCUGUUGUUGGUGGACGACGCAUGGUUUUUCUGUUUUUGCUGUGUGCAGUUGUUGUGGGUAUCUUCUUAUCGUGUCAGCGUCAGGUUUUCUUGCCUAGCGUCGUCGUGGAGUUGUUGAGCGCCGAAGAACAAGCUCAUCAGUCCUAGAAUGAGGACUGUUGCCAAGCGACCACCACCGCACGCGCAGCAACUAUAGGAUGAUGAGAUUCCGAAAUUAGGAUUAUGGUUUGGUGAGUUCGUUCGUCGGUGGCGAAUAGAAACGAAGAGAAAAAAUAUUCAAGAGCGGUCCUGCACGAGUGACUUGCAAUUUGCAAUGGGUCAUUGUUUAUGAAAAUUGGCAGCGCAUGUUCGGAAUUAAAUGUUCGUCCGAUGAACGUGUACCGGCGGACAUCCUUGAUAUUUCCGCAACGGUCGUAAACGAUGCAAAUAUGUCGCCAAGGGGUGGUCGACCUUGCCUUCUACUUCUGAUCCGAUUGUUUAUGUUUGCUUUGAUUGUCAUCCGGGCUGUCGAUUCACUUUGACAUAUGCGGAAAAUUGGCAAAUCCUUGAAAAAGCGUCGUGUCGCGUGACGCGCCUACUCUGUUCACGCCCUAACGCGCGUCCGCGACGCAUCCGAACCUAUCCGAACUACUAGAUCGACGCACGAUUGUGACACCUGCACUCUCAAUCCUUUGUUCAAAUCUGUUCAGAUUCGAAACUUGAGAUCUGUUGUAAUACGAGCGCUCAAGAACGGGCCCUUUUUGAGUGUCUGGGCUACGUUAGGAGAACACUUUUCAUCUGACUUAACGAUCAUUCUCCCCGGUCCCGUCCACGCAAGCUGCCCCAUCCAUUUCGCGACCAAGGCUUGCUCCGUUUAUUGUGUUCUGUGCGGUCAUGAUAUUUAUAAAUGACCAUGUCGCCAUGUAGAAUGCAUACGCACGCAGCUCAAGUGGCGUCCAAUGGGAAGAAUCGUACGAUGGUUGUCUGUCUGUUGCAGUCUGUUGUGCUUUCACUUUCGCCCUGCACGGACGCGCAGACGCUCCGUAAUUUCAUUUACGGUGUACACACGCUUAUCGCACCUUGUUCGUUACUUAUCUAAAAAAUGCUUUCGUUGUUCAAACAACUGCAGGAAAUUGCAUUCUCGUCUCUGGAUAGAUUGAUGGCGCUCAACCAAUGGUUGUCUAUCUGUCUGUCUGUCAAAAUCAAGGAGUGGCUUAACAACCGCAAAUAUCCGCUCCAUUUGGGAUCAAUGGAAUUCACCGCGCGAAUUUUAUCAACGGUGAUGCAUCAUGCCGCGCUAUCCCCAGAUUCUGUCCUAUCUUGAAUUGAAGUAAACAACAAUCGCAGCAAGCCACUGAAUGUGCUAAAUGAGACGGCACCUGCUGCCCGGUUGCCAUAGAAAGAUAACAAUUAGCUAACCGGCACGAUUCGAGAGGAUGUUUUGAAUAGGUCCUAAGCAUUUUCACCCUAACAUUUCGGCCUUUUUGAUUAGUUUCUCUUUGUUUUUCGGCAUGUUUAUGCGUCACCUUGGCAACGGCAGACUUCUUAAUCGACCAAAAUAACGUUCAACCCAUUCGGAAAAGUUCUUCGAUAUCAAUGUUUACACUACCAGCCAGAGCAGCGCGGUGCAAUGAUCCUAUCGACGAUCGUUUAGCGUCGCGCUUUCGCAUAUACGACACGACUUCACAAUCAUACGCUACUAAUCGCAACGCAACUGCCGCAGCAGCUAGCAAGUCUCGUGAAUCGAUCGACUCGCGUGCAAAGAAGGAAGUGUGCGAAAUCGAGCCAAAGCAGUGACUUCCCACUCUGCGCUCUAGGCGCAGUGCACUCUACUAACUCUAGUAGCUUAUGAAUUAUUCAACAGCGUUGCUUCGAUUCUCGCCUGUCGUUGACUUACAUUUGUCAGUCGGUCGGAUGAUUCUAUGCGUCAGGGAUUUACCGCUCCGCUCCGCUCUAAGUUGAGAGAGUGUUAUUUAUCCACCGUUGAGAGGAAGCUGACCGGUUGAAGGUCCUUCGCAGUUCCGCUUUCGGAACCUGUUAUUUUGAUUUAGAUCCGUUAGUCAGCAGGUGUGACGUGCGAGCGGACGCGGUGUAAUCUUAACUGUCAGAGAGGGGUAAUGACAGGUGUCGCUUCGCAAACGCACCGUGACGUCGAACAAAUUCCGAACAUCCCAAUUGACUUAUGAGACGUUUCCUUUUAGGACGAGGAGCAAUUGCACUAAUUUCGAACGACAGUGCCGACGGUCCCACGCAGUUAAUCUGCACCUUCGGUUCUGGGCCCAGCCAGACCCAGACGAGUUUCAUUCACACGUAGGAGGCUAUGCUUUCUUUCGCUCCGUGUUCCUUGCAGCAUAAACCCAAUCCAAUUGAAGGGAGCCAUAAUUCUUCGUGAAGGCCUACGCACGGACACACAGACACACAAAUCGAACUAAGCAGGCGCUUUGCCUUCACUCGACCGAGCGAGCGCAGCGGUAUUCAGAGGUACAGGGCGACCUUCCUUUUAUGGAACCUUGGCGACGAAGACGUCUGGCGGCGAGCGGUCGGAUGCAUUUGGGAUCGUAUUUUAUGUUAAUUUUCUCUUCUGACAUAUCUACCGGCGAACGACGACGGAACGAACCGGCUUUUGACUACACGGCGGAGUCGGCGUUGCAUCGAUUACAGUGGACGUUCGAUAACUGAAACGAAUCAUCCAAGCAGUCAUGGGAAGAUAUGUCACACACUCACAACAGAUUUUCACGCAUAGCCGUGUGAUUAAUAAAGCUAUUAGCUAUUAUUUCAGUAAAAAGUAAAAAAGUAACGUUUGUUAGCUGACUCUCAGCUACACGUUUGCCGAGCUAUGAACUGUCAAAAUUGUUGUUUACUAAUUACUCGGUUGUAGAAAUCUCAGGAAAAAAAAAAUUAAAGAAAUGCUGAUAUCACGGCAAUCCGAUUUAUAUGUGCAAAUUGUAGCGCACUACAUGAAAUUCUGUCCUUUUCUUUCACUCUUAUAGAAAUUUUGUAAACAGCAAUGCCAAGAAACGUCAAAAUCCCAAAGAAAAUCAAUACGAUGCCCUGUUGGCUGUUUUCAAAAGGCCUAGGCCUCUGACCUUCCUGUAUGACAAAUUGAGCUGUCAGUCUUGUAAAAUAAACUUGGGCAAUGAUCUCUAGAAACUGCGUCCUAGAAAAGAUGAAGUGCUACUUUGGUCCGAUGGACGUGUUCAUUCAAUGAACUUUUGGACGGUUCCGUAUUAUUUAGUUUGCCAUGGAAACAAGUUCAUAUUUCGUAAAGAUGGAACCGCUCAAACGUCAAAAUAAUGAAUUCGAGUAGAGAUUCAUAAAGCAAAGAACUGAAAGAUUCAUUUUGCAAUGAAUUCGAUCAACUUCACUGCUGGCGCUGAUUGUCUGAUCUUUGACAGCUGUCAAAACGCCAGUUAUGUUCCAACUAUCGAACGCCAACUGUCAUGCUUUCGAUCCUCCGCGGUCACGGCGGUGUGCGGAUGAUCGUGUCGUCCGUCAUGGUUUACUUUGAUUGCGUGGAGAAACGCUAUAAAUAUGGGGCUCUAUGAUUGCGUUCCUUCCACGUACGUAGGUACCUCCACUACCUACCUACCUACAUAAUACAAUGUUGCGCGGCAUUUAUCGGGCGGUAAAGUGGAAGAAAGCCGCCUUUGGCCGCCUGUUCACCGUCGUAUAGGGCGUUACCAAUUGGAGGGAUACAAUAUUAAUUUAUCUGCCGUGACCUGAAGGGGCGUGGAUUGAAGUAAGUGAAGAGGAGGUGUGAUUUGAUAGGGUCCGUUAAUUGCAAUAUGGUGGUGGAAGUGAGCACGUUUGACGUUGAUGUCAGUUAUUAAUUGACGGAAUAAAUCAAUUUAUUUCAAUGGGGCAGUGUUGGAAGGUGAAGCUGAACGAAAAUUUGAAUUUAAUAUUGAUUGGUAGAAGAAUUGAGGUGUUUAUAGCUCCGUUGGUAAACUCAUCGCAAGAACAUGUUCAGGGAAUCAGGGAGUUUAUGACCCAAGUGAUCUACAGGGAUGGAAUUUCGUGAACAUUGUAACUGAGUAGACGCAGACGUAAAACAACUCUAGCCGUGAACAGGUUGGGCCCAAGAAUACUUGCACUUUUAUACUGGUGAUCAAUUCCUUGGUUUUCAAUGCUAUCCUGAUAGUCCACCGUAUAUCCAUAGAUAUAUCUAUGGUUUAUCUAUUCAUGACAUAUUCUUGGCUUCGACAUCUUCCAAUCUUCCAUUUGGAAAUGUAGGCAAUGUGUAUUUGCUUCCAAAGACGCUUCUGCCCAAAUUCUCGGAAGAUUGGAUGCGACCGGUUAUAGGCCCAAUAUUACUACACAGCUGCCGACCCGGUCCACCGAAAUUUCUCAACCAUUCUUCCCCUUAUUUUCCCCGAAAUCCCUUAUCAAUCGCAAACAAAAUUAAGCCUCGCCGAAAAAUACAAAACAACGCCAAACAACCACCCCAGGUCCAGGCCUUCUUGGAUCACGUCGCGUCGUUCGUGUGCACCUCCCCUGCUGCGUUCGAAGCCACACCGGCUGAACGCCGCGUCGCUUCGUGAGGACAUUUUAAAGUCAAAGGCUACUUAUCUCACACACGUCCCGCUCUCGUACACCUCAACGUCGCUGUCGCGCACCGCCACCCAAUGGGAAAUUACGGGAAAUACGGCUUGUUUUUGCGAUUCACGUAAACUCUUGUUGAGGUAAUUGCCUACCACCUAUCAACAAAAAAGAGAGGACCCAUUAUCUUCCAAAUUGGACAAAAAACGCUUAAAAACGCGGCGUUGGUCGUCGCGUUGUUUACGCUCCGUGUAGAAGCUUCCCGGCGGGAUGCAACGUGCACCGGCUUCUUCCGAAAUUUUCAAAUGUUAUCUGUCUAUUUUUGUAUUACAUACGAGUAUUUAGGUGUACAUUAUGGAAAAACGUCCGGUCACUCACCGGUCGGAUGAUUCAGUCAAUCCGAACGCGUGUGUACACAGCUCCCGGCUGUGGCUCAAAUUCGUGAAUAAUGAUUGUUUGAAGCGGGUGUUACUAAACACCUCGCGUCGCGGCCUACUGCUUAUCGCUCGCAAGUUCACCUUUUUGGCGGCGAUAAGUAGGGUCGUGGAAGCUAGGAUAGGAUGUGACACCUGCAACUUCUCUGUCUAAUUUCACAGCUUGCUGUCUUGUUUUUCCGCGUUGCUAAGAUUAUUGGUCCCCAAAUUGGUCUCUUUUGGGCUGACUAGUUGUCGUAUCCUAUCCUAGCGUGGAAGCAACGCCCGCUUGUUCGCGCGGCGACUGACUUCUCCCCGGUUGCCGCGAAGCGAUGCGAUAGAGUAAUACAUGAGCUCACAGGAAAACGUUUCUUGUUCGAUUUGGUGGCAAAGCCAAUCGGCGAGGGAGGCUAUUUUUGGACGAAACGCAAAUUAUAAUUGGCACAUCGACAGAUUUGCGAUUGAGGGGGGUUUGCGAAUGUUACAGGAGCAGUGGUAUUGAUCGUUACAUUACUACUUUCGUUGAGUUGACCUUUCUGGCCCAGAAGGCGGAUUCGCAGUACAGGCUACUUCCCAACACAACUGUGUCGGACUCUAGGAGACGGCGAUCGUUUCAACAUCCAGCUUUUUUCAGCAGACGAUACGGUAGCAAUCACCAGAAGCUGGACGAGCAGAUAAGUGCGAUCAACGAGAACGAUAAUCUCAACACUCUGUGGGAGUCUAUCCAUGGAGCGAUGAGUACGGCAGCGCAGGAGGUGACAGGCACUGCUCAAAGACAACCUACACACGAAAAAUCGAUUGAGGGUUUCAGCAAAAUUUUGCUGAAUUUUGCCGAGCUAAAAGUUUCAGCAAAAUUUGCUGAUUUGUUCAGUAAACUCUGCUGAUCACCAGUAACGUUUUGCUGAAAUUCAGCAAACUUUGCUGAAAUUCAGCAAACUUUUCUGAAAGUCCAGCAAAAAAUGUUUCUGGACCCUUCAGCCUUUCAGCUCGGCAAAAUUCAGCAAAAUAUUGCUGAAAGCGUUUGGUGUGUACGAGCGGGUGGUCCGACGAGGAGUGCCAGAGGUAACGGACGAGAAGAAUGUUCGUUGCCAGAAGCCGGAUGCUGAUGUCGGGAACCCAGCAGAGCAGGGAGCGAUAUACUCUCUCUCUCUCUCUCUCUCUCUCUCUCUCUCUCUCUCUCUCUCUCUCUCCCCUUCUUGGCGUAACGUCCUCACUGGGACAAAGCCUGCUUCUCAGCUUAGUGUUCUAUGAGCACUUCCACAGUUUUUAACUGAGAGCUUCCUCUGCCAAUGACCAUUUUGCAUGUGUAUAUCGUGUGGCAGGCACGAAGAUACUCUAUGCCCAAGGAAGUCAAGGAAAUUUCCAUUACGAAAAGAUCCUGGACCGACCGGGAAUCGAACCCGUCACCCUCAGCAUGGUCAUGCUGAAUACCCGUGCGUUUACCGCCUCGGCUAUAUGGGCCCUAGGGAGCGAUAUACGGAAGCAUCGAAUCCACCGCAGAAAGCAAAACUAUGUACCACGAGGAAAAUGUGAUUGCUCAGGCGCAACAAAGUAUGGAGCAGAAUGAUAUGCGGAGGGUUUACGAAACUAUCAACAGCGCUUUUUCUCGUCAUGUGCAACGACGAAUGAUGGAAACAUUCUGACAGCCAAAACGAUGAUGGCUGCCAGGUGGAAAGAGUACUUUGAGAAAUUGCUGAGGGGUGGGAAUGGAAGAGCGACAGCCAGAAUUCAAAUCGACGACGACAGACAGACUGUGGAACCUCCAACGCUAGACGAGGUCAAGACAGCCAUUAGAGGGCUGAAGAACAACAAGGCUGCUGGGAAGGACGAACUCUCGGCCGAUCUUCUCAAGCACGGUAGUGAGCAACUCUUACGCUGUAUUAUCUAUUUUCUAGAUAAAUAAAAAUGGAAUGGUGUCAUGACUUGGCUCAAGAACGGGUCAACGGACCUACAGAAUUCUUUCACUGUUGCAUUCGUGCAUGCCUUCGACGUGUUUGUGCGAAACAAUUAUUGUGAAAAACGACCGGGAAUGUAGUUAAAACGGAAAAAUGUGAAAUGUGAGGCGUUGUCAAAUCACAACACCUUGGUAAGACAAAGUUUGUCGGGACAGCUCGUAUUGAAUACAUGGGAAGAGGAAGUACUGCCUGCUAGUUGGUUGGAUGGUCUCAUUUGCCCUCUAUACAUGAAAGGGCAUCGACUGAAGUGCGCGAAUUAUGACACUUCCCAAUUCAGCGUACAAAAUGUUGUCCAGAGCUCUGUUCAACAGGCUGAGGCCAAUUGAGGAGUCAUUCGUCGGCAAAUAUCAGGCGGGUUACCAUGAGGGCCGAUCAACGACGGAUCAGAUGAUCACCCUGCGGCAGAUUCUCGAUAAAUUUCGGGGGUAUAACUUGCAGACUCACCACCUAAUUAUUGAUUUCAAGGCGGCGUACGAUUCAGUGAAGAGAAACGAGUUAUGGUGGUUUAUGAUCGAACAUGGUUUUCCGACGAAGCUGAUUAGACUGAUUCGUGCGACGCUUGACGGAUCGAAAUCAAGCGUACGGGUUGCGUGCGGAUGAAAUGUCGUCAUCGUUCGUAACCUUAGACGAACUGAAGCAGGGUGAUGCUCUUUCAAGCUUACUGUUCAUCAAGGAGCGAUUAGGAGAGCUGGUCUGCAAAGGAGCGGACCAAUCGUCACGCGGUCGCAUAUGCUCCUGGGCUUCGUGGAUGAUAUCGACAUCAUCGGGAUCGACCGUCGGGCCGUGGAAGAGCCGUUCAUACCUUUUAAGAGGGAGACUGCGAGGAUUGGACUUACGAUUAACAGCACAACCAACGUGGUCAACGUCGGUCCGGUCGUGGUAGUGGCGACGAAGUAGUGCUAGGUGGUGAAUAAAGUGUCUCGAGUAUACCAAAGUGGCGAAUCCUUGUCGUUUUGACAGGUCUCCUGCUCGAUUGGAACUAUGGAGAUGACACUAAAUCGGCUGUUCCAAUUUUGACGUUUCUCCUCUUUGUUUUAUCCAGGCUCGUUAGUGCUGAAAAGUUUUAUCACAGAGAAACAGACGUAACACUUUCAUAACAAAUUUCAUUAAAAAUCAUCGUCACGAAAAUGUAACUGCCCAAUGCUAAACGUACUGUGUUUGGCCGGGCCAUCACUAGGUGGCGGUAGUGAGGAAACGUCAAACAGGAGCAAAAUCGAUGCCAACGCCGCAAGUGGUCAAUUGGCCAAUUACCAACACUUUGAAACAACCGUUAAAAGAGUUUAUCGAUGGCAAGCGGUCGGAGUGUGACGUCUGUUUCUCUGUGGUUUUAUGUUGUGGACGAAUUUGUUUAUUCUUCCGGUCACCCUAUACGGCCAUGAAUCGUGGACGUUGAGAGAAGUUGAGCGGAGAGCCUUUGGAGUGUUCGAACGUAAAGUGCCCCACACAAUGCAUACGUUUGCGUGUGCGUGACAGUAGUUUGCCACAUUUCCCAUGCGAAAACUGUCAAAAGAACUCAAACCUCGACGGAACGGACGCUGUGUGUUCCAGGCUUAAGUAGUUGCUGCGAACAAUACUCGGCGGUAAACUGGAGGAAGACAUCUGGCGGCGUCUGGCAUGAACUACGAAUUGUACCAAGCUGAGUACUGCGGAUAGGAACGGUUUUAUUAUUCAAGCUAUCCAACGCACACAAGCACACCACCGGCACUCAACUUGAAAACAUGCACGAGCCUUCAAUUAUCUUGCCACCAACUCUCUUGGCGCAGUUGUCGAACACGCCGUCGCUACGCCGUUCGAAAAAGGUAAACAAUAUGAUCAAUCCCCCAUGACUCUCAUUUUGUGCUCGUGUUCAACUGAGUAACGCGGACUCAACCCCUUUUUGUUGUCAAGCAAAUCUUGAAACACGAUUCAUGUGUUAAAUUGGUCACAUCUGUCAUUCGGGUUUCUUUUUUCUCCGAAUUUUACUUUCUCCGCUCUCUCAGAAGAGGUAAACCAUGUUCAAGCAUGUAUCUGUACACAUGACUUUAACAAAGUUUGUUUACAUUCGAGGAUAAUUCAGAUGUCUCCUACAGUUCUUUAUCGCUUAUUCACGAUUUUCACCGCUCCAGUACCGACUUGUUUUGUUAGAACUUGUGGACGUGGGUUACAAUGCGGUGCUCCGUGAAAGGUUGCCGUUGGAAAGGUCACGUUAGUGUUUUAUUAUUUCUCGGCGGAUGUGUUUCUGAUCAAAAUGAGAGAUGGAAAAUGGUUUGAUCACAGACAAACAGACGUCUCACUCUACUCACUUCCCAUCGUUUCCCUUUUUAACGGAUUAUUCAAAUAUUCCGUAGUUCGCAAAUCGCUCGCUCAUGGCGCUCGCAUCGCUUUUGCUCCUGUUUGACGUUUGCUCACUACCGCCAUCUACUCAGUGGGUUUGCGUACCACAGCAUAAUUAGCAUUGGGCGAUUAUGUUUGCGUGACGAUGAUUUUUAUCGCAUUUUGUUCCAAGUGAUACGUCUGUUUGUCUGUGAUUUGAUCAUAUGUGAGAUGCCGUUUGUUAAAAAAUUAAAUUGAAGUUGAAAAUAUUUUAUUUUAAUUCCAAUAUAAUACAGUAAACGUUCGGUCGGUGCAAACGGUUUAACUGCAAUGCUUUUGAACUGCAAGUCCGGUAAGUGCAACUAAUUUGCAGUUAUCGCACCGCUACCCGUCAAAAUGGUGCGCCAAGUUAGCUCAAAUGAACAGUCGAAUGAAUUUUGCAUUCAUUUAACGUCAAUUGAUGGGUUGUUGACGCCUGCCUGACGUUGCAGUUAUCGAAUUUUGUUCGCUAAGUGAAACGUAAACAUGUUGCAGUUAUCGAACGUCUACUGUACAAUACUCCCGAAUCGAUCACACAGGGUGAACAAUGAACAUAACCUCAAUCUACAAUGUUUAUUGGCUCCCGAUUCAGGCUCCCGCAGAGAGAGCAUAUUGAGUCAGUCCACGGGACCCAGGUGUUCAAUGCUAAUGAAUUCGCGGUAGAAAUUUUGAUGUAUAGUCUUGGCAAACUACGCUAAAAUAGGCUCAAAAAAAUAAUGUUUUAUACUUUGCCUCGCUUUCAUCUUGAUUAAGUCUAUUUUGUCAUGCCUAGUUUAACUUGUUUAAAAUGGUUUAAAAAUAUCUGGUUGUAAUACUUUUUUCUGUCGGUUGGAAUAGCAUAAGUACAGUAGCUGUGGGAGCCGUGACAGUUCGAUGGAGAUAUUAGGACAGCGGUCAACGGAGAUACCUUGACAACCGUUCUGAUUCAGUCCGCAGCACCCAGGUACCAAGUAUUGCGAGGUAUGCACUUCAAACGGAAUCGCUCAAGUAAUUUUCGUUCAGUGCAUUAUUUUUCCGUGACCGGAAUGGUAAAGAAAUUUAACACAGCAAGCCCCAUUUGAUUUGACGUUUCGUUUCAGCUCCGUACUAGGAUCCGGAAUAAAGCGACGCUUUCUUAUUUCUUGAGCGAUUCCAUGCCUGAAUUUCCCACGCAUCGAGAUAGGCCAAGAAAUUUCUUGCGAUCUCCGUACUACCCAUAUAUAAAGAGAUGGAUAUAGUGAAGCGAAUAGGGCACUGUCCAUAAUCUACGUACUCAUUUUUGGUCAUCUCAGACCCCCCUCUCCCCCACCGUAGACAAAAAAACAAAACUGUUCGAAUUUAUAAAUUUGAAACAGUUCUAGAUGCUUUUUUAACCUCCCAUGCAUUUUAUAACGCUCCCGGAGGGCAUGCCCUAAUCAAUCCCUAGUCACUUUGGAAUACUUUACUACACGCAGAAAAAUAAUUUGUAAACACAAUUAAAUUCUAGUUCAAAUCAACCAAUUUUUCAGUUUGUUAUAGCGACAAACUGAUUUCUAGUUUAAACUGAACUGUUCCAUUGUUCGAUAAUACAAAUAUUUUCAUUUGCCGAAAUUUUUCACAGUUUGUUAGAACAAGCAGAGAUUUGGUAGUUUCAACAUAAAAUAACAGAUUGAUUUAAACGACUGCACUUUUGCCACUAACAAAGCCGGGAAGUGAUUGUGUUGGUGACGGCAGCUCCUGCGGCAGCUCGGAAAUCUAUUUUUAGACACUCGACAAGCGGAUGGAAGCGAGAACGAAUAAAAAAGGCAAAAAAUCGAAACCGACCAACUUUUUUUGGAUGCAGUCUUGAGUACCUGCGCGUUAUCCAUCACGGCCAAAACUGCACUUGGAAGUUGGAGUGAUGGAUUUGCUACACUUUCUUCGGUGUGGCGAUGUUGGGGUAAGAAUUUUGAAGAUGUGUGGGUGCUUCCGGGCCAUGUUUAUGG